Brassica rapa (field mustard) is the source of this 4753-nucleotide long non-coding RNA. RefSeq lists it as uncharacterized. NCBI's taxonomy places the organism in Eukaryota, Viridiplantae, Streptophyta, Magnoliopsida, Brassicales, Brassicaceae. The record is from RefSeq and is a predicted model, not a curated record.
AAGUAUUAGGGAUGAUUAGUAUACAUUGAUACCAAUCGAUAGUCAUAUCACAUAUACUGUAAUUUUAGAAUUUGAAAUGGUUAUUUGUGUUUGAGAUUCACUUCAGUCUAUUUACCAAACAAUUGACAUUUAGUGGAAAAUAAGUUUUUAAAAUGUGGAUGAGAAGCAAGUUAACCUAUGGCUUCAAAAGAUAGGCAAAAUGUUUUGGAAACUUACAUACAGAAACAGUUGAAAUUUCAAAAAAAAAAAAAAACAGUUGAAAUGUUAUUAAACUACAUGCAGUCAGUUUUUUUUAAUAACCAUCUACAAUUGGGAAACUGAGUAUCUCCAAUGUAUAACUCCAUUUUUUCCUUUAAAAUGAAAUAAAAGUGAAAAUAUGGUAAAAUUGCUCCAAUCCUACUCCAUUUUCCACUCUAUAAUGGAGUGAAGAACAAACAAAAAAUAAAUUACUCCAUUUAUGGAGUAAAUUUCAUUAUGGAGUGAGAUAUGAAGUUGGGUUGGAGCAUUCCUUACUCCAUAUUUACUUUUACUCUAUUUUAGAGGAAAAAAUGAAGUACGGAUAGAGAUGCCCUUAAGCACCUAUUACUAAUACAUUACCUGCCUCUUAAAAAGCAAAACGACCCGUACGAUGUUUCUUGUAAAGUCAAAACAAAAAAGGGCCACUUUGUGAAAGGUGGUGGAGAUAAUGUACAUAUAAUCAUACACUGACGUUGUAAUAGUAAGAAAUCAACCUAACACAUACGAACAUCUUUAAACAACUACGAACCAUACUUGACAUCGUUAUCCAAUCACCAUUGGUUGUUACUAACCUUUCUUUUGUCACUUAGUUGAUUACUUUUGGUAUUGAAUUUUGACACGUUACGAUUGUCCUUCAAUGCUCAGCUGCGGAUUGUACCCACACCGUAGAUUCGUUGGUUUCUUAACUAUAAACAGCAUCUACUCUAUACUAAAAGGAACAAAUAGUGUGUUUUAAGCCUAUCCACGUAGGCAAUUAUAUUCACCCAAUCAUAACAUUUGAUUAAUCCACGUAGGACAUCGAUUUUUUUUUAUUGGGUUUCUGGGUCGCGGACAAAACCAAACACAAAAUCAAAUGCUUUGGGUUUCUGGGCUUCGUUUGGUUUAUUGGGCUUGGUCUCAGUUUAUUAAAAAAAAAAAACCACCCGAGGCGGAAACCUCGAUGCUCCGCGCCUGCAUCUCUUCGUCUUCACCCUUUGUUCUUCAUCGUAACAGAAUUUUCGAUCCACAUCUCUACAAUCAAUACCCCACGACAUCUCCAUCCAUCAAUUGAUCCUUUAUGAGUUCGUUUCGGUUUGCUUUUUUCCUGCUCCUUUAUAAACUGUUCAUCUCUUUUGAGUGGAAACCAAAUCUCAAACUUCUCUCCUUACUCUAUGGCGAUCAAACCGAAUGGAAAAUCCCCUGUUACCUCCGAUCACGAUGACAAAAUCAUGCUUUUCGAAUCUCCAUCUCGGUUCAAUCAUUUUGGUAUGUUCGGUUAUACUGCUUUUUUGUGAUUAAGAUUAGGGUUCCAUAGUCACGCCUCUUCAAUCUGACGUUUCCGUUUUCGCUCAUCUCUUACUGCAAAGACAAUGAAGUCUUUUCUCAACUCUUAGCAUCCUCUGUCGUUCAACUUCUCUUUCUGGCCAAUAAAUGUGAAAGGAAUCGUUUUUGGCAAGCAGGCAAUGCAAAUCACAGUGCAUCAACGGAGGAAGGUACUGUGCUCCUGAUACAACGGGAGAGACAUGAUCGAUCAGGAUUUGCGGCAGGCUUGCUUCUUUUUCAAAUACUGAGAAUCACGUGUUCAGAGGUGAACAAGAAGCACAAGUUGGGAAAGGCUCGCGAGGAGAUGUGACAAUAUUACCAACUAUUAUGAUAAACAACAAACAACCCAGAGGUGAGAGAAGCAAGGAUGUUCUGUUGGAGAGAUCGGUGGUGCUUAAGGACCUUUGCUCAGGGUUUAGCGAGACGACUGAGCCACACAUAUGCUUAAACAAAGGUCCUCUCUAUCCUUCCUAUACAUAUCUCUAUUUGAUAAACACUAAUUUUAACGUAUGGUUCUGUGAUUGCGCAGGCAGACAUAGAAACCAACGAGUGUUUGCAAAACAAUGGAGGGUGUUGGGAGGAUAAGACUAUCAACAUUACAGCUUGCAGGGUGUGUAAGAUCUUAAAAUAAUUUUUAUUGUUUUGUUAGAGUUAUGUUAUAUAUAUAUCUACGUAUAUGUUACAGUAAAAAGGAGUCUCUUUAUUGCAGGCCACUUUCAGAGGAAGAGUAUGUCAAUGUCCUGUUGUUCAAGGUGUCAAGUUUUGGGUGAAGGUAAAAAAUAAUGCUCAAAAGUAUGUUAUAAUUACCGUAAUGAUAUUUUUUCACAUGUAUAAACAAUGGAGGAUUCUGGAAACAUACUCAAAUGGGAAGAACAUAUUCGGCUUGCUGUGUAAUAUGGCAUAUCUCAAAACUAACUAACUUCCCCUCCUCUGUUUAAACAUUCCCUCUCUUUCUAUAUAUCUGACUUACAAUGAUUAAUUCUUACCUCUUUUUCAAAAAAAAAAAUGAUUGAUUCUUACCUUUUAUUUUAUUUCUGUAGUUGUUGCUGCUGUUCAGUAUGAUCAUUCAAAAGGCUGCAAAUGUCCACCUGGAUUAAAGGGAGUUGGGCUCAAAUAUACAGUUUGUGAAAGUCAUGACUCAUGAGACUUGAACUGGAAAUGGUGGAGAAAGAAAAGAAAGAAUUCAUCUCUCGAUUUCUCCAAGGUCAGUAUCUUUCAUUCAGUUUUUUAAAACAUAUAUAUGUUUAACAAUGUCCAAAGCUGUCUUUUUCAUUUGUUUUGGUUAUGUUAGUUGUAACAAAGCUUAUAUAUCAAAUAAAUGCAGGAUUUGGAGGAAUGUUGCAGCUAAAACAGUCACUACACGUGUUCUUUAGGUGCGGAAUCGGUAAUGGUCGAACAGCUUCCUUCUGGUACGAUUACUUGACUGAGUUAGGGCAUAUUGGGGAUCUCUUGGGUCCUGCGGGAUCAACAACUUCGCAUACAGUGGAAUGCAACUUUUUCAGUAGCAACACGUCUUGGAAAUUAUUACUUUCCUCCCGUACGUUUUCUUAAUGCAGAAACUCCAAUGGUUGGUAUUUCUUCUACACAACAUCCAUAAAAUUCUUAUGCGAUGAUGUGUAUUUGUGGUGAGGUCCUGCUUGAAUUUUUUUAAAUAGAUUGAUCUCCUCCAAAGUGACAUAGGAACGGCUUAGACAACCUGCACCUGUUGUUUCUUGCCAUACUACGGUUUGGUUCAAGCAAGAAAUUCCAGGAUGUUCUUUUGUUACUUGGAUUGCUAUGUCAUCUAGACUCCCUUCUAGAAAUAGGCUGUUGUCUUGGGGUUUGACUGUCCUUGCAAGCUGUGUUCUAUGUACGAAUGGUACAGAGUCUCAUGGACAUCUCUUCUUCCACUACGCUUUCGCAGUUGGAUUGUGGAACAUAUUCACGGGGAACCAGCUAGACAUUGGCCCAUCAGACUUCUUGGACUCGGUGGACUGCAUGACUUAACACCGGACAGUGCAAACAUCUUCAAGCUGCUACUGCAACUCAUCAUGUAUAAUAUAUGGAGAGAACGUAACUGCAAGAUUUUCAGACAAACUUCCUCUUCUGCUGAGGCGGUUCUCAGUAUAAUUGAUUGAUCAAUGAAGGAUAAGCUUCUCUCCAUUCCAACAGUUUACAUCUCCCUCUAUGCUCUAGCUCUACUUCUAAUUCAUUGAACCUUUCAGCUAAUGAUGCUCACUCUUUGUUUUUCAUUUUCUUUGUUUCUCCUCCUCUGUCCUCAAAAGAGAUAAUAAAAUGAGAGGAGAUUUUGUUUCGGUUUGACUCGAAAAGAAUCUAAUCGCCAUGUAACCAUUUUGAGUAAUCAUGUCAUUGACUUUGGCUCCGAUGUAUUAGAUAUAUAUUGGUGUUAGCUUUGUCUCCUCCCAGUUCAAUUAAAUUGUAUUAUAUACUUUUAAAUUAUUUGAUCAAUGUGAACAAAGCAUGUGUUUCCACGCAUUAAAAUAAUGAACACUAUUCUAAAUUUUAAUAGAGAUAUAGAUAAAAUUAUAAAACAAACCGACAUGUAUGAAAUUAUGAAUAUGUCAUCAAUUUAAUGAAAUUAGGUUAUUAUGUUGAUUAAUUGUAAAAGCCUAUCAUAUAUUUUCAUUAAAAAAAGUCUAUCAUUUUAUUAUAAAUUGUUGUCUUGAACAAUAUUUCAGCUUAAACUUUUAAUUUAACAAAAUUAAAUUUAUAUAUAUUUAAAACAUCUAUUACUCUCAAAGUAUAAAUGAAAUUUUUUCGAACAAUUUUAAAAUGUUUAACAACUAAAUAUUCUACCAUAAUGAGCUGAAUUUACAUCAAUAUUGUUUUUAGGUCCAAUAUUAGUCCAUUUUAACAAAUAAUAAAGAAUUUACAAAUUAAAUAUUAUUUAUAAGAAAUUUUUUAGCAUAAGUAUUCACGGGUGUAUAAUACCAACUCAAUAUCACUAUGCUUCUUCCACAUAACCAUUAUAUAUCUUCAAAAAUGGAUUUCAAAUCAUUCAUUAUAAAUCAAUAAAAAACUCCAUAAACAAAUCCAAAGAAAUAUUAUUGCAUGUGCAGAUCAAUCGUCGAGGAGCAGACAACGUUGGUAAUAUCAUGGAACCAUCAAUCAACGAUUUUAACCAAAAGCACUCAAGAUAACCGGGUAUGAGCAAGUGCAACAGAACAGAAGUCACUUGCAUCAUUUCUAACCAGAUCAAAAAACAAAAAAAUUA